Haplochromis burtoni (Burton's mouthbrooder) is the source of this 2061-nucleotide long non-coding RNA. RefSeq annotates it as interleukin-1 receptor type 2. NCBI's taxonomy places the organism in Eukaryota, Metazoa, Chordata, Actinopteri, Cichliformes, Cichlidae. The record is from RefSeq and is a predicted model, not a curated record. The transcript is spliced from 15 exons.
UCGAGGAUCUCAUUUUCGCUCGUGAUUAUGGUUUUUUUUUUCCUCGGGUGGAUAUGUUUGUCACUAUUUCUUUCUUGGGGAAGUGAAAAGUUUCACUUUCUCUAUGUGUCUUCAUAGGUGUUCCUCAGACUGACGAUAUGAAGGGAAAAAUACUUCUGGUCCUUUUGUUAUUCUGGCCAGGUGUGUGCCCACUGAGUUUCCAGGAAGUACAUGUCAAGUCAGGUGAGAUGGCGGUACUGCAGUGCCCUUCUUACAGAGGGUACAGUGAUGGAGAUGCUGAGGUGUUCUGGACCAGUCACACCGUGGAUGAAAUGAAACUCUUCAACAUGUCAACAUCAGCUGAGCAGAGGCAGAUGGGUGUGCUGGUUCAUGGAAGAAUCCUUGUCAUUCUCAGAGCUUCAGUAAACCAUCAGGAGAAUUACUCCUGCUCUUUUCGUAAUUCCAGCAGGCGUUCCUGGAUCAACCUCAGAGUAUACACAGUGGAGUCCAAAGAGUCUGGAAAAAUGAUCCAGGACUCUAAAACAUGUUACACAGAUAAGUCCUGCACUUUAUAUUGCCAUGAUGAAAAUAUUCUCUUUGAUACCUGGAAUAUCACCAGAAACAGCACUACAUGUCACAAGGAGGGCGAGCCAUCUCCAAAAGACGGCUACUUCUCUAGUGUGAAAAAAGAGGACAGUGGCAUCUAUACCUGCACCUGGUCUUACCUGUAUGAUGGUCAAAUAUAUAACAUGACCUCUAUGGUGAAACUUGAUGUCCAACCAAGCAAAAUAACUAAGAAAGCAGUGAUAAUUUCACCAGAGAACAGCCAAGAAUUUGAUGUAGAUUUAGAUUCAACAGUGGUGAUUGAUUGUAAAGCAGUAACGUCCUCGGACACUGAUGACUUGUUCUGGUUAAGCGGCGAUUCAUUUGUGGAGACAAAUAGCACUCUGCCCGUUUUCUAUAAUUAUACAUGGGUCAACAGCACAGAGGAAAUCAGCAUGACAGCAUCUCUAGUCUUCAGACAAGUGUCAGAGGAGGAUCUGUCAAACAAUUAUACCUGUAAACUGCAAUCUGACUAUGAAACAAGCUUUGUCACCAUCACCCUAAAACAAAACGAAACUUUUAUACCACCAAUGAUCAUUUCACCAAAGAAAAACCAAGAAUUUGAUGUAGAUUUAGACUCUACAGUGGUGAUUGAUUGUAAAGCAGUAACGUCCUCGGACACUGAUGACUUGUUCUGGUUAAGCGGCGAUUCAUUUGUGGAGACAAAUAGCACUCUGCCCGUUUUCUAUAAUUAUACAUGGGUCAACAGCACAGAGGAAAUCAGCAUGACAGCAUCUCUAGUCUUCAGACAAGUGUCAGAGGAGGAUCUGUCAAACAAUUAUACCUGUAAACUGCAAUCUGACUAUGAAACAAGCUUUGUCACCAUCACCCUAAAACAAAACGAACCGUUUAUACCGCCAGUGAUCAUUUUACCAAAGAACAACCAAGAAUUUGAGGUAGAUUUAGACUCUACAGUGGUGAUUGAUUGUAAAGCAGUCACAUCUUCAGACAUUGAUGACUUGUUCUGGUUAAGCGGCGAUUCAUUUGUGGAGACAAAUAGCACUCUGCCCGUUUUCUAUAAUUAUACAUGGGUCAACAGCACAGAGGAAAUCAAUAUGACAGCAUCUCUAGUCUUCAGACAAGUGUCAGAGGAGGAUCUGUCAAACAAUUAUACCUGUAAACUGCAAUCUGACUACCAAACAAGCUUUGUCACCAUCACCUUAAAGCAAAAAGCUGUUUCACAUCUCGCCAUGGGUUUAUGCAUUUUUCUCGCUGUGUUGAUGGUAUUACCAGUAGCUAUUUAUACUAUGUUUAACAUCAUUCUUUGGCUGCAAAAAAAUCUUGGCUUCUACCACAGAGCCCCAGGGAAACUCCAUCGUUUGAAGAUUCGCUUCUAAACAGAAACAGCAGGAGGCCUUGAGUACAGGUUCAUCACCAGGGGCCUCACAGCUCUGCGAGGUUGUGUCACCUGAAAUGGCUCCAUGUUGCACUCCUCCUCCUUCUGAAAGAAGCUUCGCCAUUACCUGCCCGUCCCACAGA